GGAUGCAGGAAGAGACCCACCCCCACCCCCCACCCCCCGCACAGCGCGCGCGUGUGCCAUGGCUGUCAGACCUGUGAAAUUGGCUCCUAGCAAGGCGCUUAUGACAACUAUCAAGUCCCUUUUAGUGGCACCUUAGCCAGUAUCAACACUGGACUAUCCACUCCUAAAACCUACCAACAUUCUAUCCCAAAAAGGGCCUUCAAACAACCCUAAAAACUCGCCUGGACUCAGAAAGCGCGCACCCUGAUAGUCACGGUGCUGCUUCUAUCUGCCAGCUCAAGUCCCCGGAUGUAGGAAUGCCCAAGGUGGCUCUGAGAACCUCAACUUCCUGGAUUCAGGAUGAGCGGCCUGGCUGUUUCCUUUCAGCUGUGACUGAUGAAUAGCUAUCCAUCCUCCUGUGACUGAAGUUGCAGCUUGGUGUUGUAGUAGUCUCGUACUCCAGCCCGUGACAUGGAGCUACCUCCACUCAUGGCUAUUAUUAAAAUCAGUCUGCAUUUCCUAAGCAUAUGCCACUGACAGCAAGAGGAAGGCAGUCCACAGGCGACAGAAUGAACAAACAGGCCUCAAGGAGGAAGGGUGUCCAAGUCAUAAGAUCUCAGGCGUCUGCACCGGAAGGGGCCUCAACUAUCACCAGUAAUGCUGCUCUCACAUUGUAGAGAUAAGCAAACUGAAGCCAAAGAGAUGAAACAAUCUGCUGACAGCCACCCUCUCAUGUUUGAUUCCAGUAUCACACCUUAUCAAACACUGUGUCACACAGAUUCCCAAAUGGGUCACGUUUUCCGGCCAUCCUAAACAGCAGAUAGGAGCCUCUAUUCUUAGGCAGUGCUUAUUUUCUCCUUUAUUUUUAGUCCCAGGCCACAUUAGUGAGACUGCUAAAUGGCUGGAGCUUCGAGAUGUAAAGGUUAUGCAAAUGACUUAUAAAAAAACCCACAACACAGCUGGAUGUGUUAGAGCAUGCUUCUAAUCCCAGACAUGGAAGAUUGAGGCAAAAAUACAGCAUGUAAAAGUCAGUCUGGACUAAAGAGUGACAAUAGUAAAAAGAAAAGAGAUAGAAAGCAGCAGGGGAAGAGGAGGAGGAGCAGGAGAAGAGGAACAGGAAAAUUAUGGAAUAGUCCUUGACAUGUUGAAUUAAGAGCCAACAAUAGCGUGGUAAAUUAAAUGUAGAAAGCUAAAGUGUCAACAAGUAGGUGUCGAGCAUUUCACAUGUGCCUGGGAUUAUUACAGAUAUCAAGAUAAGUGAGAAUUUCUAUAUUAGAAUAUGAAACCUGUUCUAUAGAACAUAAAUAAAUCCCAAGGUAGAACAGACCCUUUGAGGAAGUAAACAAAGAUGUUCAAGUGGAGAUAAUUAGAUUCAAGAAGCAUUUUCUGAAGCACUUGUUCUACUCUUUAUUGUUCAUGGAGUCAGAAAGAUCACGUUAGGAAGUACCACACUGCAUCCCAAGUUCGAUUGCUAGUCAGAUCAUUAAUGCACUAGACCCCGUGAUGAUCCCCCCAAAAUGAGUCUGAUGGGGUCUUCAGUUUAAAAUCAGAGACGAAACAAAAUGAUACGACACAGUGGCAUUUAGUUAAAGGAAGAUUGUGGAGCUAGGUUUGGGAACAUUUUUUUUCCAACUCGAGUUCUGCAUGUGAUUUGUGACUUAGCUACUAAAAACGAUCACAAGGCACUCAGCUAUAAGAUGCUAUGGGAACAGUAAAUAAUACCACAACUGUGAAGAGAAAUGGAGAAGUUAUAAGAAAACUGGGAUGAAGGAACAUGAAGCUAGAGGAAAAAAAAUGUUCUUUAUUUUCACAGCCAUAAAUCAGACCACCAUGCAUGGUUCACACAAAGGGAAUUCAGGACCUGGGAAGCAAGUCCAAUAUGGAGGAUGAAACCAUGUAUUAGGAGGUUUUUUUUUUUUUUCAACAGCCAAGGGAUCUAAAGAUCUAAAGGGAGUGUUCCCCACAGGACCUCCCCCUUCUAGAAGACAUGCCAAAAAACUAAUAUUUCAGGCCCUGUGCCCCAGCUAUAUCAACCUGCCCAAGCCCAGAUGGGAGAUGUAUCAAGGACAGCUCUUCACUCUGUAACAACCCCACCACUUGGGGGUGUUAGUCAGUGGAGCCGCAGAGGACUUCUUGGUAAAAGGAAAAGUAGGUUAGUUUAAGGUGUCUCAGUCAACACAGGAAAGGAAAGGGCAAGUCCUAGUGUGUGCAUAGUGGUGCGCGGGCAACUGUCUUCUGAAGUCUCUGGCAAAGCCCAGAACCCUGGGGAUCCAGUGAUGGUUCUUACUGUCUGUCACAUGGUGACAGGCCAUGCACUGCACAACACUUCUCCACAAGGUUCUGAUGGAAUCGCUCCACUCCUGGAUAGGAGUGAAAGGUUGCAUCUUUCUCACCCAUAAGGACGCAUACAGUCACAAUACCAUCAUUUAUUUUGGGACCGGGGGGGCCUUAAACUCAAGAUAUACAUCUGCCCCUGCUGGACCUGGCUGGGGGAGCUUUUUAAAAAGGGAAAAUCAAAUUUCAUUUGCAUUUUAUUCCCUGGUGAUCAUAUUUUUAAAAAGUCAAUACUGCCUUCAUUCUCUCUAAAACUCACUUACUGAAAUAGAUUGACUUUAGAAGUCCCAAAACCAAAUAGCAGAUCAUGGCACACAGGGAAUAAUUAAAAGAGCAAUAUGCUCUAAGGUCUCCAUUUCAUCCUCAGCUGUGUACUUUCCUCUGUGUCACAGCAUGCCAUUUAAAAUGUUCAAUCUGACUGGGACUUUGGGGCACAUCUCUGGACUAAUAGCUGUUACGUUUUUCUUUCAUUCAGAAGGGUCUGCUGAAUCCAGAUGUGAAUCACUUCUCGAAUCCUUAGGGCUGAGAUAAGAAUAGGGGUGGACAUUUAUGAUUAUAUUUCAUAAUAUAAUGAAUAUAUAUAAAUAUAUUUCUAUCUAUCUAUCUAUCUAUCUAUCUAUCUAUCUAUCUAUCUAUCUAUCUAUCUAUCUUUCUAUCCCUUCUACCUUUGAACAAACAUACUGCUUAAAGCAUUCACAGAGAACAUGCUUAACUUGUACACUUUGUGUGUGGGGGUGGGGGUGGGUUGUCUUUCUGAAAGUGGCAGAGCUAAAAGCACGGCUUUGGAGCCAGGUAGUCAGGGAUUCUCGACUGCAUGCAGUUAACUUCCUUGAUCUCUAACAUUUGUUGUCAGUGAUGAGGAUCAAAUAUAGGUCGCAUACACGCCAGGAAAGUACUAUGCAUCCCAGAUGCUUUGGUGAACCCCUACAUGACCUCUUUGGAAUCAAAGCCUAUACAGGAAGCCUGAGGGCAGUACAAGGGCUCUCAGACUUCACACACUUUCUGCACACUCAGGAACACUUAGCUAUAGGGCUGGGUGCUUUCUAGUGAUAAGGUGUAGUUUUUCAUGUUUACUGGCAAAAUGAAUGAGGUUUUACGUUACAGGGCAAUUUAGGAUACUACUAUAUGGAGCAAUGCCUACUAGAUACUGGGAGGAGAGGACUUAUUGUUUAAUAAAAUAAUAAUGACUUACUGAGUGCCAGCACCAUGCCUUGAAAACCAUUCAAACUGCUAUAGGGUGAGAAAAGAGAUAUAAUUACAGUGUAUUACUCACCAUCCCUGCUCACAAGAGUUCAAAGGCUCAAGCAAACACCACUGGACAUAGUACACAGGCAUUCCCUUUGCUGGAGGGGAGGGGUGGGUUGCAGCUGAGUGGCAGAACACUUGCUUAGCAAGCACAGGUCCUGGGUUUCAUCCCUAGUACCACAAAAAGUUCCCCCUUUAACCUAAGCUGCAAAAUAACUCAUAUUUUACCUCAGUUCUAAAACUUUUAAAGAACUUCAGUGAAAUGUAUCAGAGAUAAUGAAUUCCUACCAGAAAGGACAAGGUUUAAAAGAGGAUAAGGUUUAUUAAAGAAGGGGUGACAUUAUUUAUGGAAAGAUGAGAAGAUGUAUUCACUUUUGCUAAAGAGGGUAUGGCUUCUGGACUGAACAUUUUCUGUAUUAACUCCAACGCAAAAAUCAACUUGAGUGAUUGUCUCAAAAUCCCAAUACAUGCAUGUCCAAUUUCUAAGACACUUAAAAUUCUUUACAACCAACUCAUCAUUUUUUCCAAUAUUAAGACAACUCUAGGGGUUGGGGAUUUAGCUCAGUGGUAGAGCGCUUGCCUAGGAAGCGCAAGGCCCUGGGUUCGGUCCCCAGCUCCGAAAAAAAAAAGAACCAAAAAAAAAAAAGA
Rattus norvegicus (Norway rat) is the source of this 4206-nucleotide long non-coding RNA. RefSeq lists it as uncharacterized. The record is from RefSeq and is a predicted model, not a curated record. Lineage: Eukaryota; Metazoa; Chordata; Mammalia; Rodentia; Muridae.